RNAcentral lists this unclassified non-coding RNA (329 nucleotides) under soil metagenome. RNAcentral describes it as "partial contains 5.8S ribosomal RNA, internal transcribed spacer 2, and large subunit ribosomal RNA". The stretch from base 1 to 120 matches the Rfam family "5.8S ribosomal RNA", at positions 35 to 154 of the family's 154-position model. The record is from RNAcentral.
GAUGAAGAACGUAGCGAAAUGCGAUAAGUAAUGUGAAUUGCAGAAUUCAGUGAAUCAUCGAAUCUUUUAACGCACAUUGCGCCCCCUGGUAUUCCGGGGGGCAUGCCUGUCCGAGCGUCAUUACAACCCUCAAGCUCAGCUUGGUGUUGGGCCCCGCCGCCCCGGCGGGCCCUAAAGUCAGUGGCGGUGCCGUCCGGCUCCGAGCGUAGUAAUUCUUCUCGCUCUGGAGGUCCGGUCGUGUGCUCGCCAGCAACCCCCAAUUUUUUUCAGGUUGACCUCGGAUCAGGUAGGGAUACCCGCUGAACUUAAGCAUAUCAAUAAGCGGAGGA